AGUUUGAUCCUGGCUCAGGAUGAACGCUGGCGGCGUGCCUAACACAUGCAAGUCGAGCGAUUCUCUUCGGAGAAGAGCGGCGGACGGGUGAGUAACGCGUGGGUAACCUGCCCUGUACACACGGAUAACAUACCGAAAGGUAUGCUAAUACGAGAUAAUAUACUUUUAUCGCAUGGUAGAAGUAUCAAAGCUUUUGCGGUACAGGAUGGACCCGCGUCUGAUUAGCUAGUUGGUAAGGUAACGGCUUACCAAGGCGACGAUCAGUAGCCGACCUGAGAGGGUGAUCGGCCACAUUGGAACUGAGACACGGUCCAAACUCCUACGGGAGGCAGCAGUGGGGAAUAUUGCACAAUGGGCGAAAGCCUGAUGCAGCAACGCCGCGUGAGCGAUGAAGGCCUUCGGGUCGUAAAGCUCUGUCCUCAAGGAAGAUAAUGACGGUACUUGAGGAGGAAGCCCCGGCUAACUACGUGCCAGCAGCCGCGGUAAUACGUAGGGGGCUAGCGUUAUCCGGAAUUACUGGGCGUAAAGGGUGCGUAGGUGGUUUCUUAAGUCAGAGGUGAAAGGCUACGGCUCAACCGUAGUAAGCCUUUGAAACUGGGAAACUUGAGUGCAGGAGAGGAGAGUGGAAUUCCUAGUGUAGCGGUGAAAUGCGUAGAUAUUAGGAGGAACACCAGUUGCGAAGGCGGCUCUCUGGACUGUAACUGACACUGAGGCACGAAAGCGUGGGGAGCAAACAGGAUUAGAUACCCUGGUAGUCCACGCCGUAAACGAUGAGUACUAGCUGUCGGAGGUUACCCCCUUCGGUGGCGCAGCUAACGCAUUAAGUACUCCGCCUGGGAAGUACGCUCGCAAGAGUGAAACUCAAAGGAAUUGACG
This 876-nucleotide ribosomal RNA is filed under the name uncultured bacterium. RNAcentral's name for it is "bacterial SSU rRNA". It matches the Rfam family "Bacterial small subunit ribosomal RNA", at positions 10 to 915 of the family's 1533-position model. The record is from RNAcentral.